UUAGGAAUAUUCGUCAAUGGGGGGAAACCCUGAACGAGCAAUGCCGCGUGAACGAUGAAGGCCCUAUGGGUUGUAAAGUUCUGUUGCAUGGGACGAACGGCUAGGAUAGGAAAUGAUCUUAGUGUGACGGUACCAUGCCAGAAAGCUCCGGCUAACUACGUGCCAGCAGCCGCGGUAAUACGUAGGGAGCAAGCGUUAUCCGGAUUUAUUGGGCGUAAAGGGUGCGUAGGCGGUUUGUUAAGUAUGAGAUUAAAGCCUGAGGCUUAACCUCAGUUCGUUUCAUAAACUGGCAGACUUGAGUAUGGCAGAGGUAAACGGAAUUUCUAGUGUAGCGGUUAAAUGCGUAGAUAUUAGAAGGAACACCAGUGGC
Molecule: ribosomal RNA, 370 nt
Filed under: uncultured bacterium
Lineage: Bacteria
Description: bacterial SSU rRNA
Rfam family: Bacterial small subunit ribosomal RNA
Source: RNAcentral